RNA transcript from Odontomachus brunneus, 5965 nucleotides. RefSeq lists it as uncharacterized. The transcript is spliced from 18 exons. The record is from RefSeq and is a predicted model, not a curated record. Lineage: Eukaryota; Metazoa; Arthropoda; Insecta; Hymenoptera; Formicidae.
AUGACAAGCCUGAUCUUGGAGAACGCCGACUUGAACCGACUCUUUCCGAAAUGCCGGCCUAGGGGCGGCCCACCCCCGGCCCCGGGGGCCUCCACGCAGAGCAGCCAGCCGCAUGACAGCCCCUGCCAGACGGAGGCCACCGCUAUCGCCACCGCCGCCGCCGCCGCCGUCGUCGCCGUCGCCGCGACCACCACCGCCACCACCAUCACCACCACAACAGCCGUCACCAUCGCCUCUACGAACACGUCGACGAGCGUUCCCGCGUUACCGGACGACAUGAUCGACCUCGAGCGCGACACCUCCGACAGGUAUAGGAAACGAGCGAAUGGCAGAAAAAAAUCAGGUUCGCUGUCCCGUAGGACGGCGAGCGUGGUGCCCGGUUUCACGGUCGAGGGCCAAUUGCCGAUCGCCACGAAGCCGCUCUCGUCGAGCUCGUCCUCGGCGUCGGGACGCAGCGAGGACGCGCCGCAAUAUGGAAGCUUGCCCGGCAGCGACCAUCAGGGUCAAUCGCAGCAGGACGACAGCGGGCCCGAGGAGAACCCCGUGUACAUUCUGACCUCGGCCAAAGGUGGCCCCAGCUACAAACUUCGGGAUUCGAGAAUCAUAGAAAUUGCUGGUGGACGAGAGGUAUUCUCACAGAGCCGUGGGAAGGUAGCAGCACGAAAAUCACGAUUUCUGGCUGCCUCAAAUUCCAUAAAUAACGAGGAUAUUUCAACUGAUAAUAAGCUAUCUGUCAAGAAGAACAACAAGUCUCCCAACACACAGACCAUAUGGGAACUACGAAGCCGAUGUGGCGAGACUAGAAAGCAACGCGCGAAUCGGGAAGUGACAGAGACCGUGUUUGCCUCCGAAGUGCACUCAGUACGGCGCAACCCCACGAAAUUGAUUCUCGAUUACGACUCCCCCAAGAGCAACCGUAGCAAUCGCAUAAUUAAUUACGAUUCAAUCUUAAAUAGCAAUAAUGUAGAGUACACUACACCAAAAAGUAUUACCGACCUGGACUAUGGAUUACCAAAGAGCUGCGUAGAUUAUCAGUCGAAUCACAACACGCCCGCGAGAAGUAUGGCCAUCGUCAGCGACGGUGAGGUGGUUGUCUUCGACGAUAUCGACGACAAUUGGCAGGGGUUGCGAUUAGAUCUGGCAUCUAGCAACACGAACCAAAUCACGACGACGAAUCUGGACUUGGAAACGGACGAUUCUCAGAGAGGUCGUAUCGCACCAGAACCACCAAGUUCCAGCGUCGGGAGCACUCCUAGUCCUACGACGGCAUAUCACCGCAAUACUUCGGAAUUUUUCAAAGUGGUAACGCCGGCGAGCGAUUGCGAGGCGGAUUCUCCUUCCCCGGAACGUAACCACAAAGUCGCGAGAGUCAUUGGUGAAUUGCCAAUCGCACAAUAUUCCGGCAGUCCGAGACGUUAUGGAGUUCGUGAGAAUCCACAGCUUCCUAGCUUAUUAUCGUCGCCUUCUAUGUAUAUGACACCAAGGCCUGGUUUUCCACAGAGAGUAUUGCCGACAACACCAAAUCACAAUGAGAAGGAAGAUACCUCUGCAGAAAUUGUUGUAGACAAGACUGUGAUAGAAAAUAUUAGCACUGAGGAUCAGUCUGUGAAUCCUUCACCACCAUCACCAAAGGUCGAAGAAGAAGAGGAGGACUCUUUGAAGCCAUCGACUUUACCUGCCGAUAAUAUAAGCAGUCUUGUUUCGCCAGGAGGUAGCACUUUCGACUAUCUAUACGAAUUCUCGGAGACACGAAAAGUAUUGGAGGAAUUUUUCAAGUGUCCGGCGCCAACGAAAGAAAAGGAAAACAAUAUAGAAUCCUUUCCUUUCCAGGAUCUCGAUUAUGAACUGCGAAGGCAAGGAGGAAGUGCAUACGUCGGUCAGCGAUUAGCUAGUGGCCCACCAACGACAGAGGAGGUUAUGGUACAUGAAUCUCCUAAAAAGCAACGGGCAGAUUUUCCACAAAAUACAGGUGAACACGAGAACAACUUUUUGGACCUCUCUGUAGGCACCGGUAGCAGCGAAGACCUCGGGGAAACCGAGGUCGGUUUACAAGUGGGACACUCGCGCAAUUUCACGCUGAGCCCUGAAACGACUGAUUGCGACAGUAAUUGCGGGGACUUGGACAGCGAAGUGUCCCUCAUGAUGAUGGAUAAUGAAUUGAUGCCGGCAAGUGGUCUCCUGGGCUCGGUCGGCGAUUUGGGGAAUAAUUCGGAUUCCCUGAGAAUAUACACCAGCAUGCCAGUAUUGGAGGAUGGGUUAUCUAGUGGGCACGCGAGCGAUACCGACAACAAUAAUCCCACUGUGAUGCUCAUGAAGCGACAGAUCAAUGAAAUCGAGAAGGAGAUCAUACAGAGAACUCGUAACGACAUGUUAGGCACAGAGAACGACUCCGGGAAGGACGUUAGUAUGAACGUGACGAAGGACAUUUUACACACGCUGAAGAGCACGUCACCCGAUCUGUUCGUCGCGAAAAAGGAGAACUCAUACGACACGAACGAGUUGCAGCUCGACGGAUUGGAUCCGCUGGGCACACCUCCGCCGCCGGCGCCUCAAGGUCGGCAAAGUGUAAAUUUAGAAAUAGGCGGCGAGGUGGAGGCGGCCAUCAAGGAUAUAAGGAUGGCGCUGCAAAGGACUAAAACUCUACCUGUGAAAUCACCAUCCGAGGACCCGCCAGAACCAAGCGUCAGUCCGAUAUGGAUACCAAGUAUAAUGGAUGGCAGGCGGAGAGUCUGUAUGGAGAGCAACAGCGAAGAAUCAGAAGCGCGUCGUGUGGGUGACGAGGCUGACGUGGAGAUAGAGGAGUGUCCGGAUGAAGAAGAGGCGGACACCGAUCUCGAGACGGAUCGACUGCUCGGUCAACAGAGAACGGACGAUCAAGGAUUUUACGAUGACAAGGGGUGGAGGAAGCCUAAAACUAGGACAAUGUUACCACCAAUGAAUGCGAAAGUCGCUACUCCAAAGCAAACCCCUCCCAAAACCCUGAGUGUUGCCCCGAUAGAGACGCUAGCACCUUCCGAGCCCUUGCCCUCGACGUCUACCUCGAUCUCUCCUCCUCCCGUAGUGUCUGUUAUACAAUCACCGUCUUCUGAGUGCGAAGUAGCCACUCCCGCGCAACCUACGUCGAGUCCGCAGAAGACCCCAGUCAAAAAUUCCCCCACAUCCCCUCAGAGUCUCAAGGAAUCCAACAACAAGGUGAAAAAGGACAAGGAGGGGAAGAAAAAGAGCAGAAACAAAGAAGACUUACUGGACGAUCCUUCAGUGUUGAUCGAGGGUGUGCUAUUUCGCGCAAGGUACUUGGGAUCCACACAAUUGGUAUGCGAAGGUCAGCCGACAAAGUCGACGCGAAUGUGUCAAGCGGAGGAAGCCGUCUCCAGGAUAAAGGACGGGCCAGUGCCGAUGCAGGCAACACUCUUAAACUAUGGGGGGCAGCAUGGUUAUGGUCGCUGCAGCAUUGCCUCGCAAGGAAGCCUAGAGGAGGACGAGUGCGACUCGAGCGAAGAACUAAUAGGGAGCGCUUCUGGUGGGGGCCAGUCCGAGUCGCACGCGCUUGGGGCCCAGCCGAAACUGGCCCCGAUCAGUGGCUGCUUGGGGCCCACGACCGUUUUCAGACUACAGUUUCUCGGGUCGGUGGAGGUGGAAGAGGAAGGGGGACGUAAACGGCGUAAGCGCCUUAAGAACCACAUGGUGGAGGAGGCAGUGACGAAAAUAAAGGCGUUGGCACCGGACGGUGACACUCAACCGAGCACAGAAGUGGACCUAUUCAUCUCGACGGAAAAAAUCAUGGUGCUCAACACCGAUCUGAAAGAGAUUAUGAUGGAUCAUGCUUUACGCACGAUUUCAUACAUAGCAGAUAUCGGUGACUUGGUAGUGCUGAUGGCGCGACGACGUUUCGUGCCGCACGAGAUGGAGGAGGUGCCGAAAAUUAACAGAACUCCGAAGAUGAUUUGCCACGUUUUCGAGAGUGAGGAAGCUCAAUUCAUAGCACAAAGUAUCGGACAAGCAUUCCAAGUAGCUUAUAUGGAGUUCCUAAAGGCAAACGGGAUAGAAGACCAUAGUUUCGUCAAGGAGAUGGAUUAUCAGGAAGUGCUCAAUUCGCAGGAGAUAUUCGGCGACGAGUUGCAAAUGUUUGCGAAAAAAGAGAUGCAGAAAGAGGUAGUGGUACCGAAAGCGAAGGGUGAGAUUCUCGGUGUGGUGAUCGUUGAAUCUGGAUGGGGCUCGAUGCUGCCAACCGUAGUCAUAGCGAAUCUGGCGCCGGCCGGCGCCGCCGCACGUUGCGGACAGCUUAACAUUGGCGAUCAGAUAAUAGCGAUUAAUGGCGUCUCAUUAGUCGGCCUGCCUUUGUCCACGUGUCAGACUUACAUAAAGAAUUCGAAGAAUCAAACGGUCGUCAAGCUGACUGUCGUGCCGUGCGCACCCGUUGUUGAAGUGAAAAUCAAGAGACCUGAUACGAAGUAUCAGUUAGGGUUUAGUGUACAGAACGGAGUGAUAUGUAGUCUAUUGAGAGGCGGUAUCGCCGAACGGGGCGGCGUGCGGGUGGGACAUAGGAUAAUUGAAAUCAAUAAUCAGAGUGUUGUUGCUGUACCGCACGAAAAGAUUGUUAAUCUUCUGGCCACAUCGGUGGGAGAGAUUUUGAUGAAAACGAUGCCCACGUCGAUGUUUAGGCUGUUAACCGGCCAGGAGUCUCCGGUGUACAUAUAAAAGCGUUCAGUUGCCUGGCUGAUGCGUAGUGAACAGACAAUACAUCCGCCAUCCACUACCAUACUAUCUGCUAUCUUUAUUGUACAGGUUAUUCGAUGCAAAGUCGCUUUGUGUUUCGAUUCUUAUGGAAGACUAUUCGUACGUUCACCAGCUCCUGCUUAGUAAACGAGACUACAUAAUAGUAAGCGCCCUUUCCUCCUGCCAAUGUAUCCCACACGUAUGUGACGUCAGCGUUUGAUCUCCCGUUGCGAAAUCGUGGGAAUUACUCCCGAUUGUUGUUAACCACCGCGAAUUAUCUUUUGCGUUGUGGACCCGUUCGCGUAGCAUGCCGAUUGAGCGAAAGGAAGAUACUCGCUCGUGACACUCAGUAGCUGGAUGUUACAGAGAAUCACAUUAUACUCGCGCCAAGGAAGAUGAUAGGCGACGCAGAUAAUGCAGUUGCACAUGAUUAUAAAUAGCACAAAAGCUCUUUACCAACGGCUGGAGCAAGGGGCUGGAACUGUAUAUUACAUAGUUAAUGACGUAGUAAUAUUUAUAAAAGAAAAGGAUCUCCUUCUAUCGUGGAGACACUUUAAGCUAAAAGCGUUUAUUUAAUCUUUUUUAUCUUUAAGGCCGAUGAAUGUGCUCGCGGCGCGCGGUGCCGGUGAGUGUAUUAAUUUGUACUAAAAUUACUAUCUACCGUAGAACUUCGGAGCGCGUAAGUCUCGUGAUAAAUGCCGUAGUAAUUAUAUAGAAGAGCGCGCAAACAGCAACACAAUAUUCACAAAGGGGAAAGAAAGAGGAAAAGUUUUUUCAGACGAGUAGAUAUAUAUAAAUUUGUUUUACGAUAUGUAUAUAUAUAUAUAUAAAAUAUAUAUAAAUACAUAUAUAAAUAUAUACAAAUAUAUACAGGGUGUUCCGCCACUACCGCAUUAUCUUUUAAGGACAGAUUUCUGAGGUAAUUUGAAUUAAAAAUCCUAAUACAAAAAUGGCGAGGCUAUAAUACUUUUCAAAUUAUAAGCGAUUAAAGUUGAUCAAUUAUACUAAAGUACGCGUGCUCAGGUACAACACACAAUGGUACAGGUGCAUGCACAUGUCGUCCCUUUUCCAAAUAUUGAUACGAAAGUUCCAUACAUUCAACAAACGUAUGUAUAAUAAUCUGCCUUUUUUAUCAUUUAAAUAAACAUAUCGCAAAUAAUAACAAUUUCAUCAAAAUGUUAUGAAUAAAAUAUCACAUAAUACAUUUAUGAAAAUCAAUAAGCUGUCACACAUUUUACGUUUCUCUCAG